UACGAGGGGGGCGAGCGUUGUUCGGAAUUAUUGGGCGUAAAGGGUGCGUAGGCGGUUCCGCAAGUCCUGUGUGAAAUCCUCGGGCUCAACUCGAAGUCUGCACGGGAAACUGCGGGGCUUGAGUGUGGGAGAGGUGAGUGGAAUUCCUGGUGUAGCGGUGAAAUGCGUAGAUAUCAGGAGGAACACCUGUGGUGUAGACAGCUUACUGGACCACUUCUGACGCUGAGACACGAAAGCGUGGGUAGCAAACAGG
Molecule: ribosomal RNA, 253 nt
Filed under: uncultured bacterium
Lineage: Bacteria
Description: partial 16S ribosomal RNA
Rfam family: Bacterial small subunit ribosomal RNA
Source: RNAcentral